CUCAUUCACCAAACAAGCUCCAUGCAAGGAAGAAGCCACAACCGCAAGAUCUACUCUACAAGUUUCUCCAAACACACCAAUGAAAAAAUUAUGCUUGUGGCAAGAAAGAUGUUUUCUUGCAACCUCUACCUGCCGAUCCUUCUCAUUUCAUCAGCGGAGCGUCACCCCCCCCGUGCUCGCCCGGUGCAGCCAAGAUGAAAAUGCCAGAACAUCGCUAGGUCAACAGCAAAUAGAAAUGUAAUGCAGAACUUCACACAAAAGUGGUGUCCCUCCCCCUGGAUUGAAGGCCUUUGGGGUGGGUGAGGAAUACCUGCCCGGAUUUAGCUGGUGGAUACUUUGUGAUGACAAAUGGCUGCUGCAGACGGCGAUAAUGCGACUUCAUCUAGCGGUGGUGUCAUCACAUGCUGCCUCUCACAAAUCAACACCUGAUGAAAAACUGACACAUGCGAGUAAUCACAUAUUUGAUGAAAAGCAGAACACAUAAGCGUCUCACGAUAUUAUUUCAGUCCGCUCUUCAAAGACGUUUGAACAUUGGGGUUUUCUGUCACUUUUUUCCCCAUUUUUUGUUAAAUAUUCGCCGUUUGC
This is a long non-coding RNA of Nerophis ophidion (straightnose pipefish), 585 nucleotides long. RefSeq lists it as uncharacterized. The transcript is spliced from 3 exons. NCBI's taxonomy places the organism in Eukaryota, Metazoa, Chordata, Actinopteri, Syngnathiformes, Syngnathidae. The record is from RefSeq and is a predicted model, not a curated record.